CCUCCGCCGUGCCGACCAGCGCCAGGAUCUUCCUCAGCGGCAUCCGGGCCAUCUCCCACAGAACCAGGACCCGAGUGACCCGAGGAACACCGUUAGUAAUGGAUGAUAUUUCCUGUGUUUUUAUGAUCGUGUUGCCGUUGAUGUUCAGUAAAUCAGUAACUGACCUAUAAAAACAUCUGAGAAGGCGAACAGGAAAUGAAAACACGGCAGUAAAACCCUCAGAGCAGACAUCAUCCGUUCUACCUUUGCCACGUGCUCCAGCCAUCGCCCCAAAGCGAUGAAGACGAACAGCAUGGGCGGCGUGUCGAAGAAGGUGACGGGACUCUGGGCGGCCUGCUCGGCCAUGGCCACCAUCAGGACCACGCAGGAGUAGACGUAGGAGAUGGAGGUGGCCAGAACGAUCAGCACGUCCAUGUUGGCGGUGCGGUGCUUCAGAGAGCGGUGUACAGAGCAGGAAGAAGGCCAGGUUGAGCAGUGAGAGUCCUGGCAGCAGGUUCUGGUCCUCAGGCAUGGAGCCUCCAUGUUCCUGGUGCUGACUGUCCAUCACCAUCAUGUAGAUC
Acanthochromis polyacanthus (spiny chromis) is the source of this 560-nucleotide long non-coding RNA. RefSeq lists it as uncharacterized. The record is from RefSeq and is a predicted model, not a curated record. The transcript is spliced from 3 exons. NCBI's taxonomy places the organism in Eukaryota, Metazoa, Chordata, Actinopteri, Pomacentridae.